GGUCACUGCACCGCCGCUCACCCACCAACUCAACCACCAUAGGCACGAACCAUCAAAACAACGUUUGUUGGUGUAUGCUAGGACCAUCAAAGGGUCACAGUGGAACAUGGGUAGAUGUCAUUGCAGAAGAGUGAUCUGAUGCUGACCUAUGCAAGGGGCACAUCAGGUUCUAAUAAGGGCUCCAAGGGUUCACAGUUAAAAAAAUAUGUUCACUAAUACAAAAGACAAGCUUCUCAGACACCAGUUCUAAAAGGAGUUGUCCUGCCCAUUUCACCAGAGUUAAACAGUGCAGCUACUGGCAUGCUGAGCUUGGAGUAGCAAUGAUAGAGAUGCUGCUCUACCAAUUACAGGAUUACAGCCCCUCAUGCUGAGUGGGACUCCCUGUGGCAUAUGAUCCGUCUGCAGCGGCAACCGCGUUCAAUAACAGUGAAAAGAGAGAGAGAGAGAGAGAGAGAGAGAGACUCCAGCAUGUCCCUGAACACCGCUACACUCGCUUGUACAAAUGAGCUUGAUGCUGUCGUCCGUGAUGCAUGACCUCACUACACUGAUAGACGGAUGAGCGAGUAGGAGAGGAACGAGAGCGAGGGAAUUAAAUGGGGAGUGACACUAAUGCCCUAAUGGUCAGAUCUAAUGGCCCUCGUUACUGAAAGGAUGCGCUGGUGUAAAGAGAUAGAGAGAGAGAGAGAGAGAGAGAGAGAGAGAGAGAGAGAGACUAACAGGUGCUGAGAGCAAAACCUGCACAGAAGAGAAGAGCAUUCAUCUUCAGUCUGACAGAGAAAACCCAACAACAAGAGAACAACAGCAACUGGGACUCACACACUGGAAACACACACACUCCAGUUCAGUAGAAACAAAAAGAAUUGUUUGGGUGAAACAAACAGAUACUGGACUUUUUGUGUUGUUUUACAGUCAUUUUGAUUUAAUUUAAAUGAUUUGAUAAACCAAGCACUGGAAUCUCAAAUUCCAACACUUUUAAUUAUAGCUGAUUUCAUUAGAUAUUUUGGUAACAUGCAGAAUUAUAAUAUCUGAGCACAGACUCAUACAUACCUAAAAGUAUAGAUUCUGUACAGAGUAAGGGAUCACAGAAUGAAAUCAGUGUAAAAAUGGCAGAGUUAAAUGUUAUAAUACCACUGAACUCACACUGAAAGAUAUUAGAAUUACGUGUUUACAGCAUUGUUACAACAAUGUUAUGGGUUCAAAUUAUAUUUAUUAUUUAUUUAUUAGAGAAAUGUACUAGAGUUACCAAAAUAAAUAAAAGUGACAUAUAAAAGUGAUAUAUUGACGAAUUUGAUACAUGUAAAAUUGUACACUACAGUUAAAAGGUGGAGGUUUCUUCCAUAAUAUAAUGUAGGUCAAGUAGAAAUCUGAAAUAAUACUGGAAUAAAGUAAUACUUAAUGCACAUCAAAAAUUCUCCUAAUAAUACUUA
Long non-coding RNA from Astyanax mexicanus (Mexican tetra), 1427 nucleotides. RefSeq lists it as uncharacterized. The record is from RefSeq and is a predicted model, not a curated record. NCBI's taxonomy places the organism in Eukaryota, Metazoa, Chordata, Actinopteri, Characiformes, Acestrorhamphidae. The transcript is spliced from 5 exons.